This 27-nucleotide non-coding RNA is filed under the name Cricetulus griseus (Chinese hamster). Lineage: Eukaryota; Metazoa; Chordata; Mammalia; Rodentia; Cricetidae. The record is from RNAcentral.
UGUGUAGGUAGAGUGCAGAGGAAUGGG